RNAcentral lists this ribosomal RNA (253 nucleotides) under uncultured bacterium. RNAcentral's name for it is "partial 16S ribosomal RNA". It matches the Rfam family "Bacterial small subunit ribosomal RNA", at positions 524 to 776 of the family's 1533-position model. The record is from RNAcentral.
UACGGAGGGGGCUAGCGUUGUUCGGAAUUACUGGGCGUAAAGCGCGCGUAGGCGGACCUGCAAGUCGGGGGUGAAAGCCCGAGGCUCAACCUCGGAACUGCCUUCGAUACUGCGGGUCUCGAGUCCGGGAGAGGUGAGUGGAAUUCCUAGUGUAGAGGUGAAAUUCGUAGAUAUUAGGAAGAACACCAGUGGCGAAGGCGGCUUCCUGGUCUGCAACUGACGCUGUGGCGCGAAAGCUAGGGGAGCAAACGGG